Molecule: ribosomal RNA, 849 nt
Filed under: Triticum aestivum (bread wheat)
Lineage: Eukaryota; Viridiplantae; Streptophyta; Magnoliopsida; Poales; Poaceae
Description: partial small subunit ribosomal RNA
Source: RNAcentral
AUGUGCGGUGCUGGUGGUGGAGCAAAGGUGCCAGGGUUGCUUGCAUCUGUCUGCGAGAACAGAGAGGAUGGUGUACCGAUUGCAAGGCAAAGGAAGGUGGGAUCAACACCGAUAAGAUCACGCAGCGAUCUACUCUGGGGAGUGGUGCUUGUUGUGGCUGAUGCAAACAGCCCCGCAAAUGUGCUAGUCGUCGUUGCUGGCGCAAUGGAAUUGGAUGCACUGCUGACUGUGCCACAACUGGUGCUGCUGCCAUCUGUACCAAUGGCAUCCGAGGGCGAGGGGAGGAAACAAGGAGGCAUCGGGGUAUCAUUAUCUGGCAAGUUGGAGUCUUCUAGUUCAGCGACAUUGUACUUAUCAGCUUCCUGGAAGCAAACAUCUUCAUCUCGCUUAUCUUCCUCCUCUUGCUUGAUAUCCACAAUUGGCUCCACAACCACCACUGGCUCUGUAACCAUCCAAAUUUCGCACAACUGCCACCAUUGGCUGCUGCUCCUGUGGCGUUGGAGAUGGCGGCGUUGGAGAUGGCGGCGACGGAAUCCGCUGCGGCUGUGGCUCCUCCAUUGCUGCCUCAACGUGCUGUGGCUCAUCCACCUCGGCCACGGCAGAAGUCUCAUUUUCAUCUUCUCCCCCCUUGCCCCCCUCAUCCUCCUUUUCCUUGUGCUUAUCCACAUUCUCCUCUUCUUUCUCCUUGUCCUUGUCCACAUUCUCCUCAACCUCCUCCAAAUCAGGUGGCCGAGGCGAAGGCGGCGCCGGAACAGCGAGCACUCUGCCGGUCUCCUCGACGAGAGCGCCACAGAAAGCGCGAUGUGUCACGAAACUGUCUCUCCUGAAUCAAGCCAGCACGCCGACUGA